CUUAUUCUCUCACUAAAGCUUAACAUUUAAAUUCCUAAUUGAUUUGCCACAUUUUCACAGUUGAAAAUACCAACUGUUGUGGAUGCAUGUUCUUGAAUACAUGACUAUUCUGUACUUGCUUCUUCCUCUCGGAACAAAGAAACGAGUUGUACAGUUUUUCAAGAAUACACCCUUUGAUUACAUUUUGUACAAAUUCAUUUCUAAAAUGAACCUUCUUCUGACUUCUAUCACCGUUCACACUGUUUUCACAAUGCGUUACGCUAAAAAUAAUAACAUGUAAGACCAACCCCGUCAUCAAUAUUCAUUUGAAAGUGUGUUUCGCUGUUUGCAUUCUGCUUUUCAAGGACUUAAGGAUCAUUUAUUGUGAUGUACGACCCAAUGACUGUAGUCAUAAUCAAUUUAUGCUGCACGAGGAAAUCAUGACCCAACAAUUGUCUUCUUUCUUGUAAAAAAAGACAAAUUAAACUCACCACGUCCUCAGCAGCGUGUACUUAUUCCAUUAGCCGUUAGCCGUUAGCUUUCCUUUCAUCCACUCCCUGUAGAUUUAUAAAUGUAAACGACAGUAUUUUAGAAUUUUACAAUAUUUCUUGUUUUUUGCCGCUUAGCACCUCUGGACCUUGACCUUUGACCUUUGACCGAUGUCUUUCUGUGGCGUGGCGGUGGACCCGUUGCUGGUACUCACUUUCAGCGGACGAGCCGAUGCUUCGCCCUUUGGGUGUCUGUUUGAUUGACAGGAGGCGUAAUGUGGCGCCGGGGCGUCCCCGUCCUUUACCCCCCCAUCUCCCCUCUUCACCUCUCCUCUCAACUUCCCCUGCCCGGAUCCCCUUUCUGGAGGUCAGAGGUCAUUCAUUAGGAUGCCCUCCAUUCCUGAUGAUACCCACAUAUACAGAGAGUGUGUGUGUGUGUGUUAUAACCGACACAGGACUCGAGCAGGGGUUGUGAGGGCCGGAGAGGGUUGACAGCUACCAUCAGUCUUUAAACAACCACACACACACACACACAGACGCACACUUUGUCCCCGGGGGCCGUGGUGUCCUCACGUUGCCCUGAAAGGGAGUUCAGCACUGACCGGUCACGCUGAUGACAGAAGAUGUGACGCCGCAUCGGUUCAUCGCCUCAAACCGAAGCGUCUAACACUCAAUCAGGUGUUUGUUUCGUGUUUGAGUCCUCACGUCUCUCUUUCCGAGCUGGGAACGAUGGCUGCGGGUUGUCAGCUCACCGGCCUGCGUCGGGUGGACGGAGGCCGACGGCAGCAGACUGGCGGCACUGGGCGGCUCCCAGUAGGAAUGCACUGAAAUGUGUGAACCAGGGAGGUGCCGCUGGAAACAGGCUCCCAGUCCGCCGUCUCCUGUGGGCAAACAAAGGUGCAAACGUCCUCAUCCCCAGUGAGGACGCAAACGUCUUCAUUCCCAGUGAGGACGCAAACGUCUUCAUUCCCAGAAGGACGCGAACGUCUUCAUUCACAGUGAGGACGCAAACGUCUUCAUUCACAUGAGGACGCAAACGUCUUCAUUCCCAGAAGGACGCGAACGUCUUCAUUCACAGUGAGGACGCAAACGUCUUCAUUCACAGUGAGGACGCA
This is a long non-coding RNA of Gasterosteus aculeatus aculeatus (three-spined stickleback), 1582 nucleotides long. The record is from Ensembl. NCBI's taxonomy places the organism in Eukaryota, Metazoa, Chordata, Actinopteri, Perciformes, Gasterosteidae.